AGCAGCCGCGGUAAUUCCAGCUCCAAUAGCGUAUAUUAAAGUUGUUGCAGUUAAAAAGCUCGUAGUUGAAUUUCGGGAUCAAUUGAUUGGUCAUGCCUUGGUAUGAACUGGUCAUACUGGUUCUCACCUUCUAAUGAACCAUAAUGUCAUUCACUUGAUGUUAUGGGGAAUUAGGACUGUUACCUUGAAAAAAUUAGAGCGUUUAAAGCAGGCUUACGCUUGAAUACAUUAGCAUGGAAUAAUGAAAUAGGACAUCGCAUUCUAUUUUGUUGGUUUCUAGGAUCGAUGUAAUGAUUAAUAGGGAUAGUUGGGGGCAUUAGUAUUCAAUUGUCAGAGGUGAAAUUCUUGGAUUUAUUGAAGACUAACUACUGCGAAAGCAUUUGCCAAGGAUGUUUUCAUUAAUCAAGAACGAAAGUUAGGGGAUCGAAGACGAUCAGAUACCGUCGUAGUCUUAACCAUAAACUAUGCCGACUAGGGAUCGGAUGAUGUAAUUUUAAAUGUA
RNAcentral lists this small RNA (502 nucleotides) under uncultured Glomus. RNAcentral describes it as "SSU rRNA". It matches the Rfam family "Eukaryotic small subunit ribosomal RNA", at positions 569 to 1076 of the family's 1831-position model. The record is from RNAcentral. Lineage: Eukaryota; Fungi; Glomeromycota; Glomeromycetes; Glomerales; Glomeraceae.